This 233-nucleotide long non-coding RNA is filed under the name Lathyrus oleraceus (garden pea). RNAcentral's name for it is "Pisum sativum (pea) long non-coding RNA (PSAT_LNC013964)". Lineage: Eukaryota; Viridiplantae; Streptophyta; Magnoliopsida; Fabales; Fabaceae. The record is from RNAcentral.
AAGUUAAAGUAGUGCGGGUGCAGGAAAGUAAAUAAAAGUAGUGCGGUGCAAGAAAUAAAGGAAAGUAGUGCAGUGCGAGAAAAAAAUAAAAGUAGUGCGAGUGCGGAAAAUAAGUUAAAGUAGUGCGGGUGCAGGAAAGUAAAUAAAAGUAGUGCGGUGCAAGAAAUAAAGGAAAGUAGUGCAGUGCGAGAAAUAAACAAAGUAAAGUGCAAGUGCGGGAAAGUAAACAAAAU